Non-coding RNA from Paecilomyces variotii, 97 nucleotides. NCBI's taxonomy places the organism in Eukaryota, Fungi, Ascomycota, Eurotiomycetes, Eurotiales, Thermoascaceae. The record is from the annotation of a RefSeq genome assembly.
CCCAGGUUGGUGUAAUGGUUAACAUCGCGAUUGACACUCAGGGAAACCUGAGCCCUUCGGGGGCCGCAGCUCUGGCGUUCGAAUCCCAGACCUGGGA